GUCACGCAGGGGCAGGGUGGAGCUAAAGGCCCCUGCAGGGUGGAGACUGGCUACGGAAGGAGCCGGGUUUUCUGCAGCCCCUAGGAGGGUGGAGGCCUUGGAAGUGUUCACAGUGGUUCACCGUUUCAGAGACUGAGGCAUGAAGAGUGUGCAGCCCAGUCUGUGUGGUGAGUGUGAGAGUGUGUGUGUGAGAGUCUGUGUAAGUGGCUGGGGGAGUCUGUGUGGUUUUGACUCUGGUAACCUUCAGGUACCUUUGGGGGCUGUGAGUUAUCAGGUAGGGAGCCCCCCCAUUGCAGGACGUAAUCAAGUGGAGACCCAGUGACCUAGGUGGAGAGAUUUUGGCAGAGUUGUUGCAUCCACAGAGGGCCGUACAACAUGAACUCUGAGCUCCCUGUGAAUCCACAGAUUCUUUUUUUGUUGUAUAUCUUAGCUGCAGGUCCUUCUAGUUGUGGGAUAUGGGACGCCGCCUCAACGUGGCCUGACGAGCGGUGCCAUGUCCGCGCCCGGGAUCUGAACCCUGGGCCGCCGCAGCGGAGUGCGUGAACUUAACCACUGGACCACGGAGCCGGCCCCACUGUAGAAAUUUUCAAACAAACACAAACAAAUGCAGAGAGAAGAGGAUGCCGCAUCACCUGGACUCGACACUUUCUAACCUGUCACUGAUCUGUCAUUCUUUCCCCACUUUGAUACUUGGAAGGGCAAUAAUCGGAUUCUUGCAUUAUUUUGUUCAAAAUAUCAAUUUCACUUAAAACACCAUUUAAAAGUAGAUGAUUCUCAAAGUGUAGCUUUGGCUUAUGUUCUAAGAUGCAAAUCUCUGUGAAUAUCUCGAACAGUUUCUAAGAGGUGUCACCCAUUUAGUGCUAUGUUGCCAUCAGAUCCGCUUUCUCUUUGUAUAUUGAAUAGUUUCAGACUUAUUUCUCAUAUAUGUGUUUUCAAUACAUCCCAACAUUUAUUAGAAGCCAAAGAGUAGUUGGAGAGAUAUUUAAAAAUUCAGUGGCAUAUGAAGAAAUUUCUGCUGCAUUAUUUGUUAUCCAGUUUGAAGAAUGUGCAGAACAAGGAUUUGCUUCUCCAGGAGGUGAGAAAGGAGGCUGGUCCAGGAGGUGUCACCUCAUGUCUCUGUCCCAGCGCCAGCCGCCUGCCAGAGCAUCUGUUUCCAUGUCCUCAGCUGCCUGGUGUCUGAGUGUCCACCUGGGUCUAUUAAACGCUUUAGAAUUUUUUCAAGAAUCUUCUAUUGUAUUCCAUAAGCUUCCAUGCACCUUUCCAUUUCUGUGCACAGCUGCAAAUACCUGGCCUCUCAAAUGUUUUUCCAGAUUUGGGUUAUGUAAGCAGUUUACUAAAUGUAUGUAUCAUUUGUCUCCGGUUAUAGCAUCUACUGCACAAAAUUCCCCGAAGUGUUUACCUGUAGGAAUAGGUGCAAUCUGGAAAUCUACCCACAUACCAGUAAUUGUCAACUGACUCGUCAACUGCAAACAGGCUUUGUGACCCAAAUUAUUGAGAAAUAGUCAGUAUUCCUUACCUUAUUCAAAAUAAUCCCAUUAAUCAAACAUGCUAUAAUUGUAACGAUUUGUGUGAUUUUUAAAAUGUCAUCCCCUAAGUAGUGUGUGACAUCACUUGCUGCCAAUCUUUAUGUUCUGCAUAAACGUUCUUCCGUCCG
Equus caballus (horse) is the source of this 1654-nucleotide long non-coding RNA. Lineage: Eukaryota; Metazoa; Chordata; Mammalia; Perissodactyla; Equidae. The record is from Ensembl.